GGAAGUGUGCCCGAAAGAUUAGGGAUCUCCUUGAUAGGGAGCACCACAGGGGUUAAAAUCCCCUCUCUUCCU
Molecule: transfer RNA, 72 nt
Filed under: Hyloxalus maculosus (spotted rocket frog)
Lineage: Eukaryota; Metazoa; Chordata; Amphibia; Anura; Dendrobatidae
Description: tRNA-Ile
Rfam family: tRNA
About the family: Transfer RNA (tRNA) molecules are approximately 80 nucleotides in length. Their secondary structure includes four short double-helical elements and three loops (D, anti-codon, and T loops).
Source: RNAcentral